CCUACGGGAGGCAGCAGUGGGGAAUAUUGCACAAUGGGCGCAAGCCUGAUGCAGCGACGCCGCGUGCGGGAUGGAGGCCUUCGGGUUGUAAACCGCUUUUGUUCAAGGGCAAGGCACGGUCUUUGGCCGUGUUGAGUGCGUUGUUCGAAUAAGCACCGGCUACCUACGUGCCAGCGGCCGCGGUAAUACGUGGGGUGCAAGCGUUGUCCGGAUUUAUUGGGCGUAAAGGGUGCGUAGGCGGUUCUUCGCGUACGGUGUGAAAGUCCAUAGCUUAACGGUGGAUCCGCGCCGGGUACGGUCGGGCUGGAGUGCGGGAGGGGAGGCUGGAAUUCCGGGUGUAACGGUGGAAUGUGUAGAUAUCGGGAAGAACACCAAUGGCGAAGGCAAGUCGCUGGGCCGUUACUGACGCUGAGGAGCGAAAGCGUGGGGAGCGAACAGGAUUAGAUACCCUUGUAGUC
Molecule: ribosomal RNA, 458 nt
Filed under: uncultured bacterium
Lineage: Bacteria
Description: partial 16S ribosomal RNA
Rfam family: Bacterial small subunit ribosomal RNA
Source: RNAcentral